CUGAUCCUUUCUAUCAUCAAACUCUCGUCAAAGGAAUAAACCUUGAACCAUUGUUCAUUUGAGAGACUAUUUUUUGGGAGUUGAUUUUAAUCAUCUCUCAUAUGCAAUUGCUCUGGCGGAAAGGAAGUGAAACGGUGUUUUGGACUUAAACACUGCUGUGGUUUCAUUAAUAUUCAAGGGUAUAUCAAUUUUCGUGGAUAAAGUUAAAAUCAUGGUUUCAAGGAUACUUAAAUUCGUGGCCAAUGAUCCUUUCAAUACAAAUUAUUAGUAGAAAUUGCACUUCAAUGAACACUUAAUUUCAUGGAUAAACUUAACAACGAAAUCCACGAAAAUUGGUAUUCAACGAAAAUUGAUGAAACCACAGUAUUUUAUUCUAAACGGUUAUUACACUAGUUUAUGACAAAAAAAUAACAUACUCAAAAUUGUUAAGUUAGACCUGAUGGGUAAUUUGCUGACUACCCAGCGUCCUUAAAGAUCAAAGCAUGGAGACCAGAGAGUGUAGAUCUCCGUUUAAUUAUUAUCGUGUCCUUUUGCGACUGACAGCUGAUCAUCUGUAACUGAUGUUUACCAAGAAACAUUGACCAGUUACUGCAGUGUUCACGACGUUUUGUCACCGUCAGGUUCAGAUAGUUUGGCAAGGAGUUUAGAGAAGAGCCCUUUGUGAGAUUUGCCAUCAGGGUGGGUCACCAGAACAUCCACAUCCCCACAGGUUGGCUUACCCCGGCGGUAAGACCCACAGCACUGGGCAAUGACACCGGGGGCUAGGAACUCCGCAGCUUCUCUCACCUGGAACAGAACUCGGAGAAAGUCUGCUGGUGGAUUGCAAAGAGUAGAGAAAGUUUUGAUGCUCCUGAUCGACUGGCACAAGUUAUAGAGAGAAAAAAACUGAACGUUGCUAAAAAAAGAAAAAGUCAAAAAUUGUU
This is a long non-coding RNA of Magallana angulata, 923 nucleotides long. RefSeq lists it as uncharacterized. The transcript has 3 exons. The record is from RefSeq and is a predicted model, not a curated record. Lineage: Eukaryota; Metazoa; Mollusca; Bivalvia; Ostreida; Ostreidae.